GCCCGGGUGGUCUAGUGGUAUGAUUCUCGCUUAGUAAGCCUCACCAACCAAUCACAGUCACCCGUUCAAAUAACUAACCGCAACUCCAGGGGUUCACCCUUAGCAUAUAUGCGAGAGGUCCCGCGUUCGAUCCGCGGCUCGGGCC
This is a non-coding RNA of Aspergillus carlsbadensis, 145 nucleotides long. The record is from the annotation of a GenBank genome assembly. Lineage: Eukaryota; Fungi; Ascomycota; Eurotiomycetes; Eurotiales; Aspergillaceae.